GGUCAUGGAUGGGGAUGCGUCUGAUUAGCUUGUUGGCGGGGUAACGGCCCACCAAGGCGACGAUCAGUAGGGGUUCUGAGAGGAAGGUCCCCCACAUUGGAACUGAGACACGGUCCAAACUCCUACGGGAGGCAGCAGUGAGGAAUAUUGGUCAAUGGACGAGAGUCUGAACCAGCCAAGUAGCGUGCAGGAUGACGGCCCUAUGGGUUGUAAACUGCUUUUAUACGGGAAUAAAGUGGCUCACGUGUGGGUUUUUGUAUGUACCGUAUGAAUAAGGACCGGCUAAUUCCGUCCCAGCAGCCGCGGUAAUAUGGAAGGUCCGGGCGUUCUCCGGAUUUAUUGGGUUUAAAGGGAGCGUAGGCCGCCGAUUAAGCGUGUUGUGAAACGCCGCAGCUCAACUGUGGCACUGCAGCGCGAACUGGUUGGCUUGAGUGCGCGGAAGGCAGGCGGAAUUUGUGGUGUAGCGGUGAAAUGUUUAGAUAUCACGAGGAACCCCGAUUGCGAAGGCAGCUUGCCGCAGCGUAACUGACGCUGAAGCUCGAAAGUGCGGGUCUCGCACAGGAUUAGAUCCCCUGGUAGUCCGCACGGUAAACGAUGGAUGCGGGGUGUUCCGGUUUUAAAUUGGAGUGCCCAAGCGAAAGCGUUAAGCAUCCCACCUGGGGAGUACGCCGGCACCG
Molecule: ribosomal RNA, 677 nt
Filed under: uncultured Bacteroidota bacterium
Lineage: Bacteria; Pseudomonadati; Bacteroidota
Description: bacterial SSU rRNA
Rfam family: Bacterial small subunit ribosomal RNA
Source: RNAcentral